CUACAGGGGGCUGCAGUGGGGAAUAUUGCACAAUGGGCGCAAGCCUGAUGCAGCCAUGCCGCGUGUAUGAAGAAGGCCUUCGGGUUGUAAAGUACUUUCAGCGGGGAGGAAGGGAGUAAAGUUAAUACCUUUGCUCAUUGACGUUACCCGCAGAAGAAGCACCGGCUAAUCCGUGCCAGCAGCCGCGGUAAUACGGAGGGUGCAAGCGUUAAUCGGAAUUACUGGGCGUAAAGCGCACGCAGGCGGUUUGUUAAGUCAGAUGUGAAAGCCCCGGGCUCAACCUGGGAACUGCAUCUGAUACUGGCAAGCUUGAGUCUCGUAGAGGGGGGUAGAAUUCCAGGUGUAGCGGUGAAAUGCGUAGAGAUCUGGAGGAAUACCGGUGGCGAAGGCGGCCCCCUGGACGAAGACUGACGCUCAGGUGCGAAAGCGUGGGGAGCAAACAGGAUUAGAUACCCUCGUAGUC
Molecule: ribosomal RNA, 463 nt
Filed under: uncultured bacterium
Lineage: Bacteria
Description: partial 16S ribosomal RNA
Rfam family: Bacterial small subunit ribosomal RNA
Source: RNAcentral